ACCUUUGUGGUGUAGUGGUCAACAAUUUGGGCGCUUAUUCCAGAGACCCGUGGUUCGAUUCCCGGCGAAGGCG
Non-coding RNA from Stegodyphus mimosarum, 73 nucleotides. NCBI's taxonomy places the organism in Eukaryota, Metazoa, Arthropoda, Arachnida, Araneae, Eresidae. The record is from Rfam.